This 303-nucleotide ribosomal RNA is filed under the name uncultured bacterium. Its description in RNAcentral is "partial 16S ribosomal RNA". It matches the Rfam family "Bacterial small subunit ribosomal RNA", at positions 507 to 809 of the family's 1533-position model. The record is from RNAcentral.
AGCAGUAGCCACGGGAAUACAGAGGGUGCGAGCGUUAAUCGGAUUUACUGGGCGUAAAGCGUGCGUAGGCGGCUUCUUAAGUCGGAUGUGAAAUCCCUGAGCUUAACUUAGGAAUUGCAUUCGAUACUGGGAAGCUAGAGUAUGGGAGAGGAUGGUAGAAUUCCAGGUGUAGCGGUGAAAUGCGUAGAGAUCUGGAGGAAUACCGAUGGCGAAGGCAGCCAUCUGGCCUAAUACUGACGCUGAGGUACGAAAGCAUGGGGAGCAAACAGGAUUAGAUACCCCCGUAGUCCCUGUCUCUUAUAA